RNAcentral lists this ribosomal RNA (329 nucleotides) under uncultured eukaryote. RNAcentral's name for it is "partial 18S ribosomal RNA". It matches the Rfam family "Eukaryotic small subunit ribosomal RNA", at positions 1470 to 1796 of the family's 1831-position model. The record is from RNAcentral.
CCCUUAGAUGUCCUGGGCAGCACGCGUGCUACAAUGAUGCAUUCAACGAGUCUUGCCUUAACCGAAAGGUUCGGGUAAACUUUUGAAAUUGCAUCUUGUCGGGGCUUGAUCAUUGUAAUUUUUGAUCACAAACAAGGAAUUCCUUGUAAAUGUGAGUCAUCAACUUGCAUUGAAUACGUCCCUGCCCUUUGUACACACCGCCCGUCGCUACUACCGAUUGAAUGGUUUAGUGAGAUCUCCGGAUUGGCUCUGUAGGUCCCGCAAGGGAUUUUUUAGUAGCCAAGAAGCUGCUCAAACUUGAUCAUUUAGAGGAAGUAAAAGUCGUAACA